GGGUGGUCUGGCUACAACCGUCACCCCACUGACAGCCAAGGUUGAUUCAGCUGACCUGGGUGGCUAGACAAGUGUUCCCUGAUUUCCCUAGUGUGAGUCCCUCCUGAAGUUACAUAACUGAUCAAAAAGAAAACCUCUGUCAGGAGGUCCAUUGCUAAGUCUGGGACACUCAAGUAGCUGUGACCCAGCUGGAAGCUCCAGACAAAUUUUCUCCAGUCCAUUUGUGGGAGAACGCAGGUGGCCGAGACUCCAGACACAUCCAAGUGAGGUGCUUCAUGUAUCAGCCUGCCUUUCUUU
Molecule: unclassified non-coding RNA, 297 nt
Organism: Mesocricetus auratus (golden hamster)
Lineage: Eukaryota; Metazoa; Chordata; Mammalia; Rodentia; Cricetidae
Gene: 7SK
Rfam family: 7SK RNA
About the family: 7SK was discovered as an abundant small nuclear RNA in the mid-70s but a possible function has only recently been suggested. Two independent studies have found that 7SK RNA binds the CDK9/cyclin T complex (known as elongation factor P-TEFb). P-TEFb activates transcription by phosphorylating the C-terminal domain of RNA polymerase II.
Source: Ensembl